UACGGAGGGUGCGAGCGUUAAUCGGAAUUACUGGGCGUAAAGCGUGCGCAGGCGGUUAUGUAAGACAGUUGUGAAAUCCCCGGGCUCAACCUGGGAAUUGCAUCUGUGACUGCAUAGCUAGAGUACGGUAGAGGGGGAUGGAAUUCCGCGUGUAGCAGUGAAAUGCGUAGAUAUGCGGAGGAACACCGAUGGCGAAGGCAAUCCCCUGGACCUGUACUGACGCUCAUGCACGAAAGCGUGGGGAGCAAACAGG
RNAcentral lists this ribosomal RNA (253 nucleotides) under uncultured bacterium. RNAcentral's name for it is "partial 16S ribosomal RNA". It matches the Rfam family "Bacterial small subunit ribosomal RNA", at positions 524 to 776 of the family's 1533-position model. The record is from RNAcentral.